UGUGAUUAUUUCUUUCAUUGUCUUUUGAAUACAACAUACUUAACAUUUUCUCUUUUUGAUGUCUUGCAGUGUAGAAACUUCGCUGUGUUAGUAGAUCUUCAUAUUUUGCCUCAAGGUUCAAGAAAAUCACCAGCUGGUUUUCAGAAUAGAAAAAAAGGAUAUAGGCUUCGCAUAACAGCUUAUUUCAUCAAAAGAGAGAUUCACCUUCAUUGUAUUGUGGGGAAGCCGAGUUAUGGUACCAGGAAGAUCAUAAUACCAAGUGGAUUGUGAAAGUGGAGGGAGAAGCCAAAAUGGCAGAAGAGUGGAAAGAAUAAAAAAAGACAUUUCUUCA
This 331-nucleotide long non-coding RNA is filed under the name Phascolarctos cinereus (koala). RNAcentral describes it as "lncRNA (ENSPCIG00000033635.1)". The record is from RNAcentral. Lineage: Eukaryota; Metazoa; Chordata; Mammalia; Diprotodontia; Phascolarctidae.